AUGGAUUCUAUCUUGGCGAAUGAAACUUGGGAGAUAACUGAUUGUCCUUAUGGGUGCAAACCUAUAGGAUGCAAAUGGGUAUUCAAGAAGAAGCUUAGGCCUGAAGGUACUAUUGAAAAGUACAAGGCUCGGCUCAUGGCAAAGGGUUAUACCCAAAAGGAAGGUGAAGACUUCUUUGAUACUUACUCACCUGUGGCUCGACUGACCACUAUUCGAGUUCUACUUUCACUAGCUGCCUCACAUGGUCUUCUCGUUCAUCAAAUGGAUGUUAAGACUGCUUUCCUAAAUGGAGAGUUGGAUGAGGAAAUUUAUAUGGAACAACCAGAUGGGUUUGUAAUAGAUGGCUUUGUUGUGAACGAAGCUGACAAAUGUGUCUACUAUCACCAUGGUGGGGGCGAGGGAGUUAUGCUUUGCUUGUAUGUUGAUGACAUACUGAUUUUCGGAACAAAUCUGAAUGUUAUUAAGGAGGUCAAGGAUUUCCUAUCUCGCUGUUUUGAGAUGAAGGAUUUAGGAGUGGCUGAUGUCAUUCUGAACAUCAAGUUGUUGAGAGAUGAUGAUGGUGGGAUUACAUUGCUUCAAUCUCACUAUGUGGAAAAGAUCUUGAGUCGCUUUGGUUAUAGUGACUGCAAGCCCUCUCCAACACCAUAUGAUGCUAGCGCGCUGCUUCGAAAGAAUCGAAGAAUUGCUAGAGAUCAAUUGAAGUAUUCUCAGAUUAUGGGCUCGCUUAUGUACUUAGCCAGUGCUACAAGACCUGACAUCUCUUUUGCUGUUAGCAAACUGAGUCGUUUUGUUUCAAAACCAGGAGAUGUGCAUUGGAAAGCUCUAGAGAGAGUUUUGCGUUAUUUGAAAGGCACUGCAAAUUAUGGAAUUCACUACACUGGGCAUCCAAAGGUGCUUGAAGGGUAUAGUGACUCAAACUGGAUCUCAGAUGCUGAUGAGAUAAAGGCCACGAGCGGUUAUGUAUUCACUCAUGGAGGUGGCGUUGUUUCUUGGAAGUCUUGCAAGCAGACCAUCUUAACGAGGUCAACAAUGGAAGCAGAACUCACAGCACUAGAUACAGCUACGGUCGAAGCAGAUUGGCUUCGUCAGCUCUUGAAUGACUUACCGGUAGUUGAGAAACCUGUACCGAGUAUCCUUAUGAACUGUGACAAUCAAACUGUGAUCACUAAAGUGAGUAGUUCAAAGGAUAACAUGAAGUCAUCAAGACACGUUCAGAGAAGGUUAAAGUCUGUCAGGAAAAUGAAAAACUCUGGAGUUAUUGCAUUGGAUUAUAUCCAAACGUCUAAAAAUCUGGCAGAUCCUUUUACUAAGGGUCUAUCACGUAAUGUGAUAGAUAAUGCAUCGAGGGAGAUGGGUAUGAGACCCACAAUAUGA
This 1374-nucleotide ribosomal RNA is filed under the name Triticum aestivum (bread wheat). RNAcentral's name for it is "partial small subunit ribosomal RNA". The record is from RNAcentral. Lineage: Eukaryota; Viridiplantae; Streptophyta; Magnoliopsida; Poales; Poaceae.